RNAcentral lists this ribosomal RNA (322 nucleotides) under uncultured bacterium. RNAcentral's name for it is "bacterial SSU rRNA". It matches the Rfam family "Bacterial small subunit ribosomal RNA", at positions 28 to 350 of the family's 1533-position model. The record is from RNAcentral.
GACGAACGCUGGCGGCGUGCUUAACACAUGCAAGUCGAGCGGUAAGGCCCUUUCGGGGGUACACGAGCGGCGAACGGGUGAGUAACACGUGGGUGACCUGCCCUCAGCUCUGGGAUAAGCCUGGGAAACCGGGUCUAAUACUGGAUAUGACUCCAUGACGCAUGUUGGUGGGGUGGAAAGCCUUGUGCGGCUGAGGAUGGGCCCGCGGCCUAUCAGCUUGUUGGUGGGGUGANGGCCUACCAAGGCGACGACGGGUAGCCGGCCUGAGAGGGCGACCGGCCACACUGGGACUGAGACACGGCCCAGACUCCUACGGGAGGCA